UACGUAGGGCGCAAGCGUUGUCCGGAAUUAUUGGGCGUAAAGAGCUCGUAGGCGGCUUGUCACGUCGGGUGUGAAAGCCCGGGGCUUAACCCCGGGUCUGCGUUCGAUACGGGCAGGCUAGAGUGUGGUAGGGGAGAUCGGAAUUCCUGGUGUAGCGGUGAAAUGCGCAGAUAUCAGGAGGAACACCGGUGGCGAAGGCGGAUCUCUGGGCCAUUACUGACGCUGAGGAGCGAAAGCGUGGGGAGCGAACAGG
This 253-nucleotide ribosomal RNA is filed under the name uncultured bacterium. Its description in RNAcentral is "partial 16S ribosomal RNA". It matches the Rfam family "Bacterial small subunit ribosomal RNA", at positions 524 to 776 of the family's 1533-position model. The record is from RNAcentral.